This 305-nucleotide ribosomal RNA is filed under the name uncultured bacterium. RNAcentral describes it as "bacterial SSU rRNA". It matches the Rfam family "Bacterial small subunit ribosomal RNA", at positions 335 to 638 of the family's 1533-position model. The record is from RNAcentral.
UAUCCUACGGGAGGCAGCAGUGAGGAAUAUUGGUCAAUGGGCGCGAGCCUGAACCAGCCAAGUCGCGUGAGGGAAGACGGUCCUAUGGAUUGUAAACCUCUUUUGUCGGGGAGCAAAAGACGCCACGUGUGGCGUUCCGAGAGUACCCGAAGAAAAAGCAUCGGCUAACUCCGUGCCAGCAGCCGCGGUAAUACGGAGGAUGCGAGCGUUAUCCGGAUUUAUUGGGUUUAAAGGGUGCGCAGGCGGAAGAUCAAGUCAGCGGUAAAAUUGAGAGGCGAAACAGCUUCGAGCCGUUGAAACUGGGU